CCAAACAGCCCCUUAAUGAGUUGGCAUUUUGGCAGUCCUUCCUUCUGGUAAAAAGAAGACUCCCAACUCGUCGUCUGCUCGGGUUAGAUCCUCCACCAGUCCACCUCCCUGCCGCAGUGAUCGCCGCCGGCCGAUAUGCCAUCCAGCGACCGCUACAUGGUCUGCUCACCGUCGCCAUCCACUGGCCCGCACUCCCCUCACCUUCCCCUCUACGAGCAUGAGCAGUACAUUACAGAAUUGCUAGCAGAGAGACAAAAGAUUGGGCCUUUUGUGCCAGUUCUCCCAUGCACAGCUCGCUUGUUGAAUCAAGAAAUAUUGCAUGUGUCUGCACUCUUGGGGAUUCAUGUCUUAGAUCAACCUGGGUUUCAACAUGGUAGCCCCCUUUUAAAUGGAGGAGCAUUCUCAAAUGGAAGGCCAGCUGACGUGAAUGGUUGGGCGCCACGAUUUUCGUCAGAAAGGUUAGGCAUAUUUGAUUCCCCACCAUCUGAAAAUGGGCUCAAUGCACAAGGGAACUCCUCAGGUUUCAUUGUGAAGAAAAUGAUGAGAAUGGAUAUUCCUACGAAUAACUAUCCUAAUUUCAACAUCGUUGGUCGACUGCUUGGUCCAAGGGGAAAUUCUCUUAAACGAGUUGAGGCAGCCACCAGCUGUCGUGUCCUAAUCCGAGGCCGUGGUAGCAUAAAGGAUCCUGCUCGGGAAAACUUUAUGAGAGGGAGACCAGGAUAUGAACACCUUGAUGAGCCUCUCCACCUCGUGAUCAAAGCUGAGCUGCCAGCUGAAAUCAUCGAUGCCCGUCUUAUGCAGACCCAAGAAAUUCUCGACGAUAUGCUGAAACCGGUGGAUGAAACAAUGGAAUUCUUCAAGACGCAGCAGCUUCGCGAGCUUGCUAUGAUCAAUGGCACCCUCAUAGAUGAUGGCUCACAGAAUUCCGGAUCGGUUUCCCCAUUCCGCGGCGACUUGGGCAUGAAGAGGGCCAAGAGGGUUAAUUAGGAACAUGGGCACUUGGUUGUCUUGGUUCACCAUCUUUAUGAGAAUGGGUUUGCACCUGCAAAAGGAAUGUUACUUUACUAGCUCUAAUCUAGGAAGAAGAAUGUGCUCCAUUUUGGUAGACUUGUGUAGCUCAAAGCGUUGGUCGUUUGGAAGUGCAAUGCUUCUGUAUGAAAGAAGGAAAUGAUUGGCAGAAUGGAGAAGGAACAUGCCCAGGAAACUCAGGAUUUGGCUUCUUUAUCUGCAUCUAAACUGCUGUCCCUUUUCUAAGGGGGUGUGGCAUCUUUGCCAGCCGCAGGCUGGAAGAAUUUCGGAAGCAGCAAAAGAAGGGAACAUUCAGAAAUGGUAGAGCAAGAUCAGAAUGGCUUCAAGUAAGAAUCCAGCAGCAAAGGAGAUUACCUUGGCUUCAUACAUUUUGUGGAACAGAGAAAUCACAGAAUGUUUGAAGAGAAAUGCCUUCAGCCUAGAAGUAUUCUCAGCUCGUUUGAUUGGAGGGAAUUAGGAAAAGGGAAAGGAAAUUGAAGGGGUAAGUGAUGCUAAAUUAUAUGUUGAGUAAAUGCACUGUAGGUCCUAAAACUAUUCGGGGUGUGUCAAGUGAGUCCUAAUUCUAUGGAAGUGCAUAUUUGAAUCCUAA
This is an RNA transcript of Brachypodium distachyon (stiff brome), 1618 nucleotides long. It is a transcript of the gene named KH domain-containing protein At5g56140, with no coding region annotated. The transcript has 8 exons. Lineage: Eukaryota; Viridiplantae; Streptophyta; Magnoliopsida; Poales; Poaceae. The record is from RefSeq and is a predicted model, not a curated record.